RNAcentral lists this ribosomal RNA (477 nucleotides) under uncultured bacterium. RNAcentral's name for it is "partial 16S ribosomal RNA". It matches the Rfam family "Bacterial small subunit ribosomal RNA", at positions 30 to 507 of the family's 1533-position model. The record is from RNAcentral.
AUUGAACGCUGGCGGCAUGCCUUACACAUGCAAGUCGAACGGUAACAGGUUAAGCUGACGCGUUGCGAACGGGCGAGUAAUGUAUCGGUACGUGCCCCGUCGGGGGCUAUUACUUCUCGGAAGAGCAGCUAAUACCGCAUACGACCUUAGGGCGUACGAGGUAGGUCGCAAAACAUCGCGCGAUCGGACCUUCCGAUAUCGGAUUAGGUAGUUGGGGAGGUAAAGGCUCACCAAGCCGACGAUCUGUAGCUGGUCUGAGAGGACGACCAGCCACACUGGGACUGAGACACGGCCCAGACUCCUACGGGAGGCAGCAGUGGGGAAUUUUGGACAAUGGGCGCAAGCCUGAUCCAGCCAUGCCGCGUGCGUGAAGAAGGCCUUCGGGUUGUAAACCGCUUUUGUCAGGGAAGAAAAGGUUCUGGCUAAUACCUGGGUCUCAUGACGGUACCCGAAGAAUAAGCACCGGCUAACUACGUG